AUGUGAGAAAAAAGAAUAUAUACAUGUAUGUGUACCUGGAUCACCAUGCUGUACAGUAGGAAAAAAAAUUGUAUUGGGGAAAUAACAAUAAAAAAUAAAAUUAAAUAAAAGUAAAUAAAUCAUUUCUCCAGGAUCAAAAUAUUUGUGGGAGUCAUGCGUAUGGAACUUCAUGGUCAACUGCUGCCCUGGUCUUUCCUUUAAACCAAAAUAUAUUCAAAUUUUAACUAAGAUAGGUUCCAUUUUAAACAAGUAUCCUGGAAUGAAUCUGUUUCAAUAUAAUUACACUUUUUCUCUCCUGGGUUUUUAGAAAAAAUCAUAAAAUUUUAUUGAACAUGAACUCUAACUGAAAUAUAACAGAAACCUGAUCCUGACAAAAAUCUCAUUUCUUCUUGCUGUUAGCACCUGCAACCAUUUUGUUCAAGAGUUCUUAAGAGAGACUUAAAGCCUAUGCUGGGGAAAAGGACUAAGGUGCUCUUUGUUACCAAAAUCUGGUCCAUGUUGCUUUUUAUAUUUAGUGAAAACUAGAGGCCCCUAUUUUUAAAUAUGUUAUUUUUGUCUCAAACAUAAGGGCAUUCAAUAAGUUUUUCACAUCUUGAUUUGUUUAGCCCAGCUAGAACUCUGGGAUUUAAGAUUGGUUUAUUUGUUGCCAGUUAUCUUAAUCCAUAGGAGAAACAUCUAGUUUAAAAUCACAAUUAGCAAUGCUUUAUCUUGAUCACAGUGACAUGCCCCACUCUAUCAACCCUUUCCCUAUUUUAUGAUACUUUGUCUCUUAGAUCUUCUGACUCCUAUCCAGAGAGAUGUACUGGUAAAUAUUUAACAACUAGUUCUUGGGAGUGGGGGUGAGAAGCCCUGAUUUGUAGUGUUUGCCAUUUUCUCUGGUGUGAAUACUCCCAUCUGGCCUACUAUAACCUACCUUCAGUUGUCAUGGAAUGCAGAGUUUGUUUGUUUGUUUUAGGGCUGAAGCGGUAAAUACGGAAGUUCCCAGGCUAGGAGUCAAGUGGGAGCUACGGCCACCGGCCUAUGCCACAGCAACACAGAUCCGAGCCGCAUCUGCAAGCUACACUGUAGCUCAUGGCAACUCUAGAUCCUUAAUCCAUUGAGCAAUGCCACAGACCAAACCCGAGUCCUCAUGGAUACUAGUCAUGUUCGUUAACCACUGCACCAUGACAGGAACUCUCAGAAUGCAGAGUUUGGAAGAGGUGUGUGUUAUUGGCUCCUGUGAGCUGGUUCCACUUGGCUCCAGCACACCUCUGCUCUCUCCUAUGAGGCCCUCACUAAGCAGAAGAAUAUAAUCUGGUGGUUUAUUAUUUGGUGUAAAAUAGGAUAUCCUUCCAUCUCUUCUAAACCCACCUUCUCACUUUGCAUCCUCAUCAAGACAUACACAUCUAUUCCCUCAAUGUCCUUGUAUUAAUUUCAAGUAAGAUGGCUAUAAUAUACACUAAUUGUAGAUUUAGAAGAUCCAUUGCCUGGAUUUCUACCUUUACCACCAUCAAUUGCAUGUUCAAGCAGGUCAACCUCUCAGAGCCUCCGUUCCUCCUUUGGGAAACAGGGAUGGUAAUGUUCCCCACUUUCCACAAUUAUUGCUAAGCAAGGAAGAGAGGCUGUAUGACAGUGCUUUUAAACUUGAGUCUCAAGUUGCCUUAGAAUCAUUAGAAUCACCUGGAGAGCUUGUCAAACCACAGAUUGCUGACUCUCCUACCCCGACACAUAUAUAUCGUUUCAGAUUCAGAAGGCCUGAGUAACUGCUCUUCAGACAAGCUCCCAGGUGAUGCCAAUGCUGCCUUCAGGAGACCACAUUUUGAGCAGUCCUGUGAUAAAGCACCCUGUGGAUUUUUUAAUGUCAUGUAAACAUAAGGAGUUUUUAAUAGAGGAGUGUGGCUUAACACUUCAUCUCUCCAGGCCCCCAGGGGAUAGAUAUAUUUAAAGGAAUUCUCCAAGGAGAUAAAAUAGUGGUUUUGCCCAAGGAAGGAAUUCUGCUCAUUUCACCAGAGAGUUUACUGGGUUACACAAUGAGAUGUGGGGAUGCUGGGAAGGCACUGUGUAGUCUGGAAUGGAGUACAACAGCACCUUCAUCUGAUGAAUUCCUCAUUCCCUGGAAAAUUAGAAUUGCACUUUACAUGCAUAUGGGACUUUACAAGACCCCAAGCCUGCCCCUCUCUUAGUGCUUCCCUAUUCAGGAUAUGUCUUCACCACCCAACUGGUUCUCAGGCUAGAAUCAAGUCAUGUUCAUUUUUUCCACUGCCAUCACCAUCCCACAACAAGCAUCUAUCUUUUCUCAACUCAGUUACGACAAUGGCUUCCAAACUUUUCCAUCUGUACUUACUCUGUCGCUCUCUAAGGCACUCUUCACUUUGCAGGCAGAGUAGUAGUCUCAAAGAGAUCUCACACACACACCCCAAGAGCUUCCCCCUUGAUCUCAAGGUAAAGACAAGACUUCUGAAGCUCUUUGUGAGCUGGCUUCAACUAAAUCCCUCUAGCCUCACUUUGAGCAAUUCCAGCCACAUAGCACUGUCAAGGGAAAACCCAGAGGGAUACACAGGCAGUAAGAAAUGUUUCAUACAAUGUUUGCAAGACAGUCCAACCUUCAAAGGAAUGUGGCACCCUGAAUAAAGGAUUGAGUAUUUAAAGAAAGAUACCAUGAAGCUAUACUCAGUCCAAUUAUUAUUUCUCAAAAAGAAAACAGAAGUUCCUCACUUAAUUAUCAGAUCUGCAAGGGUCAUUAUAUUUCUGAAGACAUCAACAUUGUCAAAGUCAGCGAUAAAGUUGUUUUUAACUCUCAAGAAGGGGCUCAAGGCUUUAGUCAUUUUGAGACCUCGGAUUAGGGCAUUUUUUAUUUUUGUGGUCAUCUCAUGAUGCAAAAUUGCCUUUACUUCCCCCCCUCACUGUGUAUACAGUGUGUACUCUUAAGUAUAAUUGUGGGAGAGUAAAAUGCCAGUAGUCCUUGCCCAUGAGUUUUCAGACCCUUAAGCUACGCACUCUGCAUCUUCUCUUCUUUUUUUUUUUUUUUUUUUUUGUCUGUCUUCUAGGGCUGCACCCACAGGAUAUGGAGUUUCCCAGGCUAGGGGUCUAAUCAGAGCUGUAGCCUCCAGCCUACACCACAGCCACAGCAACGCCAGAUCCUUAACCCACUGAGUGAGGCCAGGGAUUGAACCUGCAACCUCAUGGUUCCUAGUCGGAUUCAUUUCCACUGCACCAUGACGGGAACUCCUGCAUCUUCUCUUUAUAGGCCUUUGUGCUACUGUUCCCACUGCCUGGUAUGCUCUCCUCUAUCUCUGCAUCUAGUGACCUCCUAUUUUCCCUUCAGGUUAUUGUUCCAUUCGCAACAGCAGCGAAGGCUUCUCUGACCUCCACCCUAGAUCAGAUCUCCCCACCCCACCCCCACCACCUACACACAGCCGAGAUCUCAUUAGCACUAUAUACACCAAUGCCUUGGGAUGUUUGUCAUGGUUAAAGUUUACAUUUAUAUCAGUGACUUUUAAAACUGAAUAUCUGAUUUUCCCAGUAGACUCAAGUAAAUCCAUACUCGAGAAAAGACAAUGUCUACCUUUUCUCCCUCAUUUUAUCCCCAGGCCCUGGUAGAACACGUGGCCUAGAGAAGGUGCUCAAUAAGUGAUUUUAGGACUUCUACAUUGGGAUCUCUUCUGAUUAUCAUUUGAUUUCCUAUGAGGUGGGCAGAACAUGCAUUGCUUUCCACAUUACUCCUAUUUGAUUAAAGAAGAAAUUAACAUCAAAGACAUCUGUGUCCUGCUCAGCCUAUGUGAAUAAGUAGAGGAAUGGAAACUUAAUCCCUCUCAGCUGGGUGACAAUGGCCUCUGGCUCUAAGGGCCUAGUAAUUCCUUCCCAGUGAAGCGUCAGAUGUAAAUAUUCCAGGAUGGAGGUGGAGAAUGGUAGGAGCAGACAAUCUUUCACAAGCUCUCCUCAAAUAUCUGGCUCGGGAAAUGUCAGAUCAGAUAGUCCCCAAGACCUUAAAAAAGGCAGAGAGACUAAACACUGAAACUACAUAGCCAAUGUAAGACUCCACAAUAUUUUUGUUCCUGUCCUCUCUGCUCAGAGAUAAGUGGACAUCAAAACACACUGACAUAUUGCUGCUUGUUUCUAAAGCUAGACGUUUAAGGAGUAGGUACCUAUUGGACUUCACAUAAUAAAACAUUAAUUGAACUUCACAGCUGAAAAAAUAAGAAAACAUUAUUUGCAUAAUGGCAAAUUGUCAGCUGUUCAAUAAAUCUUUGAUAUCAAGACUCGAGGCAGAACUCCAUGGCUAGAGUGGCUGGAACACUUGAGGCAGCACUUUUCUCCAAGCUUCUUUCAAAUAUACCAACUCUGGACUUAAUCCUAUGGGCUCCUCUGUACUAAUGCUAUGUGAUUUGAUGGAAGAAGAACAGUGUGCCCUAGUUUUGGCUUGAGCACAGUGUCUCCAAAAGUCUAGUCUCUGGGCAGUUCCCGUCAUGGUGCAGUGGAAACAAAUUCAACUAGGAACAAUGAGAUUGUGGGUUCGAUCCCUGGCUUCACUCAGUGGGUUAAGGAUCCAGCAUUGCCGUGAGUGUGGUGUAGGCCACAGAUGCAACUCGGAUCCUGUGUUGCUGUGGCUGUGGCAUAGGAUGGAAGUGGUAGCUCCGAUUUGACUCCUAGCCUGGGAUUCUCCAUAGGCCACAGGUGCAACCCUAAAAAAAAAAAAAAAAAAAAAAAAA
RNAcentral lists this long non-coding RNA (4688 nucleotides) under Sus scrofa (pig). Its description in RNAcentral is "lncRNA (ENSSSCG00060018853.1)". Lineage: Eukaryota; Metazoa; Chordata; Mammalia; Artiodactyla; Suidae. The record is from RNAcentral.